GAUGAACGCUGGCGGCGUGCCUAAUACAUGCAAGUCGAGCGAACGGACGAGAAGCUUGCUUCUCUGAUGUUAGCGGCGGACGGGUGAGUAACACGUGGAUAACCUACCUAUAAGACUGGGAUAACUUCGGGAAACCGGAGCUAAUACCGGAUAAUAUUUUGAACCGCAUGGUUCAAAAGUGAAAGACGGUCUUGCUGUCACUUAUAGAUGGAUCCGCGCUGCAUUAGCUAGUUGGUAAGGUAACGGCUUACCAAGGCAACGAUGCAUAGCCGACCUGAGAGGGUGAUCGGCCACACUGGAACUGAGACACGGUCCAGACUCCUACGGGAGGCAGCAGUAGGGAAUCUUCCGCAAUGGGCGAAAGCCUGACGGAGCAACGCCGCGUGAGUGAUGAAGGUCUUCGGAUCGUAAAACUCUGUUAUUAGGGAAGAACAUAUGUGUAAGUAACUGUGCACAUCUUGACGGUACCUAAUCAGAAGGCCACGGCUAACUACGAG
This 497-nucleotide ribosomal RNA is filed under the name uncultured bacterium. Its description in RNAcentral is "partial 16S ribosomal RNA". It matches the Rfam family "Bacterial small subunit ribosomal RNA", at positions 28 to 507 of the family's 1533-position model. The record is from RNAcentral.